GAUGAAGAACGCAGCGAAAUGCGAUAAGUAAUGUGAAUUGCAGAAUCCAGUGAAUCAUCGAAUCUUUGAACGCACAUUGCGCCCGCCAGCAUUCUGGCGGGCAUGCCUGUUCGAGCGUCAUUUCAACCCUCGACCUCCCUUUGGGGAAGUCGGCGUUGGGGACCGGCAGCACACCGCCGGCCCUGAAAUGGAGUGGCGGCCCGUCCGCGGCGACCUCUGCGUAGUAAACCAACUCGCACCGGAACCCCGACGUGGCCACGCCGUAAAACACCCAACUUCUGAACGUUGACCUCGAAUCAGGUAGGACUACCCGCUGAACUUAAGCAUAUCAAUAACGGAGGA
RNAcentral lists this unclassified non-coding RNA (342 nucleotides) under soil metagenome. RNAcentral's name for it is "partial contains 5.8S ribosomal RNA, internal transcribed spacer 2, and large subunit ribosomal RNA". The stretch from base 1 to 120 matches the Rfam family "5.8S ribosomal RNA", at positions 35 to 154 of the family's 154-position model. The record is from RNAcentral.